RNAcentral lists this ribosomal RNA (634 nucleotides) under Pediococcus ethanolidurans. Its description in RNAcentral is "bacterial SSU rRNA". It matches the Rfam family "Bacterial small subunit ribosomal RNA", at positions 84 to 703 of the family's 1533-position model. The record is from RNAcentral. Lineage: Bacteria; Bacillati; Bacillota; Bacilli; Lactobacillales; Lactobacillaceae.
CUAUAAAGUGAGUGGCGAACGGGUGAGUAACACGUGGGUAACCUGCCCAGAAGUGGGGGAUAACACCUGGAAACAGAUGCUAAUACCGCAUAACAAAAUUAACCGCAUGGUUGAUUUUUAAAAGAUGGCUUCGGCUAUCACUUCUGGAUGGACCCGCGGCGUAUUAGCUAGUUGGUGAGAUAAAGGCUCACCAAGGCAGUGAUACGUAGCCGACCUGAGAGGGUAAUCGGCCACAUUGGGACUGAGACACGGCCCAGACUCCUACGGGAGGCAGCAGUAGGGAAUCUUCCACAAUGGACGCAAGUCUGAUGGAGCAACGCCGCGUGAGUGAUGAAGGCUUUCGGGUCGUAAAACUCUGUUGUUGGAGAAGAACGUGUGUGAGAGUAACUGCUCAUGCAGUGACGGUAUCCAACCAGAAAGCCACGGCUAACUACGUGCCAGCAGCCGCGGUAAUACGUAGGUGGCAAGCGUUAUCCGGAUUUAUUGGGCGUAAAGCGAGCGCAGGCGGUCUUUUAAGUCUAAUGUGAAAGCCUUCGGCUUAACCCGAAGAAGUGCAUUGGAAACUGGGAGACUUGAGUGCAGAAGAGGAGAGUGGAACUCCAUGUGUAGCGGUGAAAUGCGUAGAUAUAUGGAA